GUUAGGAUUGGCAACGCGUCUGAAGAGAGGGAUGCCAACCCAAGCAGAGUCCCUGCCCUUGAGGCUUCAAUGCGAGCUUGUGCAUACACCAAGACCAGCACCGUUGUUAAUCCGGCGCUCGGAACUAGCUUUGACACAGUUGAAGAAGCAUAUGAGUUUUACAGCCUAUACUCCUGGGAGACUGGCUUUGGCGUCAGGUAUGCCAAAAGUAGGCCGAACUUCCAUAAAAAAUGCAUCCAGGAGUUUGUGUGCGCAUGUGCGGUGAGGAUGAUCCAUUCAAUAAUAAAAUCGACAAGGUGUGGAUGUGCCGUGUUGAUGCGGGUGCUUAGAUCUGAUGAUAAGGGUUGGUACAUAUGUGAACACAAAACCGAGCACAACCAUGCAUUCUUGGUUAACUGUAUGAAACGGCUGGACUGGAAAUCGCACCGACACAGAUAUACUAGAGACUUGGUGAAGUAGCUAAGGGAAAACAAUAUAAGCUUGAGCAAGGUUUACAGUGUGGUCGGCAAUUUUUUUGGAUCUGUGAAGGAUGUGCCAUUCACGAAAAGAUCUCUCAAAACUCUUUGUAGAAAACUUGAUAGGGAGCAAUCAGAAAAUGAUGCCACAAAAAAAUAGAGGUAUUCAACGCAAUGCGGGCUGAAUCCUAAGUUUAAAUACAGUGUGCAAGUUGACACUGAUGGUCGAGUCAAGACUUUGAUGUGGACAACAGGGAGAAGCAUUGAGCAGUUUAAGUGCUUUUGUGAUGCUGUCACAUUUGAUACCACUUACAAGACUAAUCUAUAUGGCAUGCCAUUUGGUCUUUUUGUUGAUGUAAACAAUCACUUCCAAAGCAUUAUUUUUGGUGGUGUGAUGAUGAGCGUUGAGAAAAUCGUCACUUUCAAGUGGAUAUUUACAUAG
Molecule: ribosomal RNA, 897 nt
Filed under: Triticum aestivum (bread wheat)
Lineage: Eukaryota; Viridiplantae; Streptophyta; Magnoliopsida; Poales; Poaceae
Description: partial small subunit ribosomal RNA
Source: RNAcentral